AAAGAGGCUUCUAGAGCUUUUAAUAAUACAUAAUUUAUUUUUAGGUAAACUUCAAAUACCACACAUAUGGUUUCAUACUUUUUCACUUUAGUACCGUAUGAUUCAAAAUGUAUCAAUAUAGUACCUUAUGAUUUCAUUUUUUUUUUCUCGUCAGCUCCUUCGUUAACAUUUUGUUCAAUUAUAUACAAAAAAUUUUAGAUGCCCCAUCUAGGUUAAUCGAAUACUCACUUUAGCACAUUUUAGUAUUAACUUUGCCAUUGAUUUAAUGAAAAAAAUUAGUGGAGAGAAUAAUAAAAAGAGAAAAAUAAAACUACGGAGUACUAAAUUAAUACACUUUAAGACAUAGGGUACUAAAAUAAAAAAGUGCGAACUACAGGAGUGGCAUUUGAAGUUUUUUUUUUAUUUUUAUAAUUCAUAAAGAUGUACUGGGUUUUU
This 435-nucleotide long non-coding RNA is filed under the name Ananas comosus (pineapple). RNAcentral's name for it is "long non-coding RNA (ACOM_LNC015315)". The record is from RNAcentral. Lineage: Eukaryota; Viridiplantae; Streptophyta; Magnoliopsida; Poales; Bromeliaceae.